GCCUUAUAGUCUAGGCGGUUAGGAGAGGCUGCUCUCACACAGCAGACCCGGGUUCGAGUCCCCGGUGUGAGCA
This is a non-coding RNA of Phytophthora infestans T30-4, 73 nucleotides long. NCBI's taxonomy places the organism in Eukaryota, Oomycota, Peronosporomycetes, Peronosporales, Peronosporaceae. The record is from the annotation of a RefSeq genome assembly.